Molecule: long non-coding RNA, 758 nt
Organism: Mytilus californianus (California mussel)
Lineage: Eukaryota; Metazoa; Mollusca; Bivalvia; Mytilida; Mytilidae
Exons: 3
Source: RefSeq, a predicted model, not a curated record
UAAAGCAAAACUAGUUGCAAAGAAGUUGACGCCUUGCGCUACAAAUGGUCAAUGCAAACCUGAUGAUGGUCACUACAAAUGUGCAUGUAAACCUGGUUUUCAAGGUGAUCCUUUCGCAGAAUGCACAGAAGUCAAGUUGGAAUGUGGAAAGGCAGCAGAUAUUAUGUUUGUUCUCGAUUCCUCCUCAAGUAUGAGGUCAAAUAAUUUUGCAAAAAUAAUCAACUUCGUGAAAAAGCUGGUUAGUUGAUCUAUGUCUGAACAUCACAAAGUCAGAAUUAGUGUGAUAACGUUUUCGCACCGGUCAAGAAUACAGUUUUAUCUCAAUCGGUACACGGAACCAGAAGAAAUAAUUACCGCUCUCAGCAAAAUUCGUCUAAUGCGUGGAGGAACACGAACCGAUUAUGCAUUGCAUGAUAUGCACAGUAAGGUCCUAGCGGAGGCUCAUGGAGAUCCUCCAAAUUAUCCAAAUAUUGGAAUAGUCAUUACAGAUGGGAAGUCAAAUUAUCCAAAGAAAACAAAAGAAGAAAUGGUUCAUAUGAAAGAAGAUGAUGUUAUGAUGUUUGCGAUCGGAAUUGGUUCAUCUAUUAACCAGGAAGAAUUGGAGACCAUCGCCAUCGAAAAAGACCAUGCGUUAAGAGUAAAAAGAUUGGACUUGCUGGAACACAUUAUUGGAGAAUUUCAAGAGAUUACUUGUAGAGGAAUUUCACAUGCUCCGCACACCCAUUCCGUAGUCCAUCCGCAUCCGCAUUAGUUUCAUA